RNAcentral lists this ribosomal RNA (433 nucleotides) under uncultured bacterium. Its description in RNAcentral is "partial 16S ribosomal RNA". It matches the Rfam family "Bacterial small subunit ribosomal RNA", at positions 29 to 507 of the family's 1533-position model. The record is from RNAcentral.
AACGAACGCUGGCGGCAUGCCUAACACAUGCAAGUCGAACGAGACCUUCGGGCCUAGUGGCGCACGGGUACGUAACGCCUGGGAACUUGCCCUUAGGUUCGGAAUAACUCCCCGAGAGGGGUGCUAAUACCGCAUAAUGUCUUCGGACCAAAGAUUUCUCGCCGUUGGGUGGGGGCGGGUUGGAUUAGCUGGUUGGUAGGGUAAAAGCCUACCAAGGCGACGAUGCAUGGCUGGUCUGGGAAGAUGAUCCGCCACACUGGGACUGCGACCCGGACCAGUCUCCUACGGGGGGCAGCAGUAGGGAAUAUUGGGCGAUGAGCGAAAGCCUAAUCCAGCAAUGCCGCGGGAGUGAUGAAGGCCUUAGGGUUGUAAAGCUCUUUUUCCCGGGAUGAGAAUGACAGUACCGGGAGAAUAAGCUCCGGCUAACUCCGUG